CUCGGCAGAAGAUAUCUUCUUGGUUACUCUUCUCUCUUGUUCUUGGAGUGGUUCUGUUCGUGCUAGACUUUGCUUGGAUUGAUAACUCUGGCCUCGGUCUCGGCAACGCGUUUAUCCAUGCUGUUUCGGAACUUUCCGACAGCCCUGAGAGAAAGGUCUGAUUGAUCUCCCUUUGGAAGGUGGAACUUUUACUUGGUCUAAUUCUCGAGAAGUUGAGUCGAAGGCAAGGCUGGACAGAUUCUUGUUUUCUGCAGAUUGGGAGGAUAAGUUUCCUACUGUUUGCCAACGUAGAAUGUCUAGGCUUCUAUCGGAUCACUUUCCGAUUUUCCUAGAGGGUGGUUCCUUUCAUCAAAGGGGUAGGAGGCCUUUUAGAUUUGAAUACAUGUGGCUUAAGGAUGAGGGUUUUGUGGAUAGGGUGCAAUGUUGGUGGGAUUCUUAUCAUUUUCAAGGCGCUCCGAGUUUUGUUUUGGCAAACAAAUUAAAGCUAUUGAAAAAUGAUUUGAAAAAAUGGAAUGUGGAGGUUUUUGGAAAUGUUGAAGAACGGGGAAAACAAUUGUGGAAGGAACUUGGUGAUUUAGAGAAUAUUGAAGAAAGUCGUGGUCUAACAGUGGAGGAAAGGUUGGAGUUGGAUCGAAUCCGAGGGGAGUUGGAAAAAGCAUCUUUAUUGGAAGAAAUUUGUUGGAGGCAGAAAUCUAGGAUCCUUUGUAUUAGAGAAGGAGAUAGGAAUACUAAAUUCUUCCAUCGUGUAGCCAAUUCUCACAGAAGAGUUAACUCCAUCGAUAGCCUUAUGGUGGACGGAGUUUUGUCUUCAGAUCCGGAGGAUAUAGCUGAGUGUAUUUCUCGAUUCUAUGGGUAGCUCUAUUCAGAAAAUGUGGCUCAUAGACCUGUCCUAGAUGAUGUGGAAUUCUCUAAAAUUUCAGAGGAAGAUGCUAUUUGGCUAGAGAGGCCUUUUGAUGAGGAAGUGGUGUUUGGGGUGAUUAAUGGUUUUAAUGGUGAUAAGGCUCCUAGCCCGGAUGGUUAUUCCAUGGCUUUCUUCUAGUCUUGUUGGAGUAUUUUGAAGAAAGAAGUUAUGGAAGUGUUUCAAAACUUUCAUACUCAAGCUGUGUUUGAGAAGAGCCUUAAUGCUUCUUUUCUUGCCUUGAUUCCUAAAAAGGUAGAUGUUGUGGAGAUUAAGGAUUUCCAUCCAAUUAGCUUAGUUGGUGGGAUAUACAAGAUUAUUUCAAAGGUGUUGGCUAAUCGGUUUCGAAGGGUAGCACAUGGGCUUAUUUCAGAUUCACAGAAUGCUUUAGUGAAAGGUAGACAAAUCUUGGAUUCAGUGUUAAUUGCUUUUGAAUGUAUUGAUAGUAGAUUGAAGACUGGGAUUCCAGGAGUGUUGUGUAAGUUAGAUUUGGAGAAGGCGUAUGAUCAUGUGAAUUGGGGUUUUCUUAUGUAUAUGUUGCAGUGCUGUGGGUUUUUAGAUAAGUGGAGAAAAUGGAUUUUGUGUUGCAUUUCUACUGUUAAAUUUUCCAUACUAAUUAAUGGGAGUCCUUCGGAUUUUUUUGGAAGCUCUAGGGGGCUUAGGCAAGGGGAUCCCCUAUCUCCAUUGCUUUUUAAUGUUGUUAUGGAGGCUUUGAGUCGUAUGUUGGAUGUGGCUGCAGCUGCUGAACAAUUUUCGGGCUUCUUUGUAGGUUCUACAAAUAGUACUUCGAUGAUGGUGUCUCAUCUCCUAUUUGUGGAUGACACUCUUAGUUUUUGUGAUGCUGAUCCUAAUCAGUUAGUUACUUUGAGGGAGAUUCUGAAUAGAUUUGAGGAGGUUGCUGGGUUAAAAAUUAAUUUGGGGAAAUCAGAGUUGGUUCCAGUUAGAGAGGUGCAUAAUCUGGAUGUGUUGGUGGGGUUGUUGGGUUGUAGGCAUUCUUCCCUUCCUUUGAAAUAUUUGGGACUUCCUUUGGGCGCCAAAUUCAAGGAGGUAUCAAUAUGGAAUCCUAUUUUAGAGAAGAUGGAAUGAAGACUAGCAGGUUGGAAGAGACUUUAUUUAUCUAAGGGAGGGGUCACUCUUAUUAAAAGUGCCUUAUCCUCCUUACCUACUUAUUUCCUUUCCAUUCUUCCUAUUCCUAGGAAGGUUGCUAAUCGUAUGGAGAAACUACAAAGAGAUUUUCUUUGGAGUGGUAGUAAUGGUGAUUCUAAAUUUCACUUGGUGAAAUGGGCUAAGGUUUGCAAGCCAAUGCAGGGUGGGGGGCUUGGUAUCAGACGAUUGAGAAGUUUUAACACUACUUUGUUGGGCAAGUGGUCGUGGAGGUAUGGUUUAGAAACAGAUGCGCUGUGGAGGAGGGUCAUAGAGGCAAAAUAUGGGAAUGUUUGGGGUGGUUGGUGCACGAAAAAGGUGAUUAGUCCGUAUGGUGUUAGCCUUUGGAGGUUUAUUAGAAGUGGCUGGCUGAACUUCUCUAAACUAUUACGGUAUGAUGUGGGUGAUGGUACUAGAGUGAAGUUUUGGAAGCACGUGUGAUGUGGGGAUUGUUCCCUCAAAGAGGCUUUUCCAGAACUUUACAGCCUUAGUGGAGCAAGGGAUUCUUCAGUGGCGGAGGUUAUGGGCUGGUCGGGUGGGCAGCUGCAUUGGAAUUUUCUUUUUCGUCGUUCACCACAAGAUUGGGAGGAAGAAUCUUUUGAUCGGUUCAUGGACAUUGUUUACUCUUCAAAAGUGCGGGGGGUUGGCCUUGAUAAGGUUGGUUGGAAGAUAGCUAGGAGUAGAGGGUUUAAGGUUAGUAGUUUUUAUCUCUCCUUCUACCCUCCUUCCUUUUCGUUCCCUUGGAGGUUGGUGUGGCACUCAAAGGUUCCCCCAAGGGUGGCUUUCUUCUCAUGGUCAGCUUCUCUAGGUUGUGAUGUUGACCCUUAUUCUCAUUUUUGCCAUUGUCCACAGUGGCUUGGCUAGCCUCCGAGAUGUGGGUGAGAAACUCAUUGGAGAACGAGCUUUCCGUGUUUUGUUUGCUGGGACAUCUCUGCCAUUGGCUGUU
Quercus robur (English oak) is the source of this 2987-nucleotide RNA transcript. It is a transcript of the gene named 15-cis-zeta-carotene isomerase, chloroplastic, with no coding region annotated. The record is from RefSeq and is a predicted model, not a curated record. The transcript is spliced from 3 exons. Lineage: Eukaryota; Viridiplantae; Streptophyta; Magnoliopsida; Fagales; Fagaceae.